This 225-nucleotide ribosomal RNA is filed under the name uncultured Oscillibacter sp. RNAcentral describes it as "partial 16S ribosomal RNA". It matches the Rfam family "Bacterial small subunit ribosomal RNA", at positions 568 to 792 of the family's 1533-position model. Lineage: Bacteria; Bacillati; Bacillota; Clostridia; Eubacteriales; Oscillospiraceae. The record is from RNAcentral.
CGUGUAGCCGGGUCUGCAAGUCAGAUGUGAAAUCCAUGGGCUCAACCCAUGAACUGCAUUUGAAACUGUGGAUCUUGAGUAUCGGAGAGGUAAUCGGAAUUCCUAGUGUAGCGGUGAAAUGCGUAGAUAUUAGGAAGAACACCAGUGGCGAAGGCGGAUUACUGGACGACAACUGACGGUGAGGCGCGAAAGCGUGGGGAGCAAACAGGAUUAGAUACCCCCGUA